RNAcentral lists this ribosomal RNA (849 nucleotides) under uncultured bacterium. Its description in RNAcentral is "bacterial SSU rRNA". It matches the Rfam family "Bacterial small subunit ribosomal RNA", at positions 631 to 1482 of the family's 1533-position model. The record is from RNAcentral.
AACUACUUGGCUUGAGUGCAGGAGAGGAGAGUGGAAUUCCUAGUGUAGCGGUGAAAUGCGUAGAUAUUAGGAGGAACACCAGUGGCGAAGGCGACUCUCUGGACUGUAACUGACGCUGAGGCACGAAAGCGUGGGGAGCAAACAGGAUUAGAUACCCUGGUAGUCCACGCCGUAAACGAUGAGUGCUAGGUGUCGGGGGUUCACACCCUCGGUGCCGGAGUUAACGCAAUAAGCACUCCGCCUGGGGAGUACGGUCGCAAGACUGAAACUCAAAGGAAUUGACGGGGACCCGCACAAGCAGCGGAGCAUGUGGUUUAAUUCGAAGCAACGCGAAGAACCUUACCAGGACUUGACAUCCCUUUGACAGCACCUUAACCGGAGCCUUCCCUUCGGGGACAAAGGAGACAGGUGGUGCAUGGUUGUCGUCAGCUCGUGUCGUGAGAUGUUGGGUUAAGUCCCGCAACGAGCGCAACCCUUGCCUUUAGUUGCCAUCAGUAAGGCUGGGCACUCUAGAGGGACUGCCGGUGACAAACCGGAGGAAGGUGGGGAUGACGUCAAAUCAUCAUGCCCCUUAUGUUCUGGGCUACACACGUGCUACAAUGGCUGGUACAACGGGCAGCGAAGGAGUAAUCCGGAGCGAAUCCUACAAAGCCAGUCCUAGUUCGGAUUGUGGGCUGCAACUCGCCCACAUGAAGCCGGAGUUGCUAGUAAUCGUGAAUCAGAAUGUCGCGGUGAAUGCGUUCCCGGGUCUUGUACACACCGCCCGUCACACCAUGGGAGCUCAGGGCACCCGAAGUCAGCACUAGGCGCAAGCUGAAGCUGCCGAAGGUGAAAUGAGUGACUGGGGUG